UGCAUUGGGGUGGGUUUGCCUGCUUGCUGUUCACCCCUCCGAGCUCAGCAUGUCUGCAGCCCAGCUGGAUCCAGAGGAGCGGUUCUGAGUAUAGCUGUCGUGGAUGAGAGGAGCUCUCGCUUUCUGAAGCAGCGGGCAGUAGCUGCUGUUACUGACACGCUUCCCAGUGCUGAGAAGCCAAGAGCACACCUGACAGGUAAUGCUUGUUCCAAACCACUGUUUCCUUUGGGUCUUACAGCUGUU
This 243-nucleotide long non-coding RNA is filed under the name Chrysolophus pictus (golden pheasant). Its description in RNAcentral is "lncRNA (ENSCPIG00010007627.1)". Lineage: Eukaryota; Metazoa; Chordata; Aves; Galliformes; Phasianidae. The record is from RNAcentral.